UAUCCAAAUUCAAAAUACAUAUUUUUAUAUAUAAUUUGAUGUUAUAUCUGUAUUUUUAUUUUAAAUGUUUAGAUUUAAUGUAAUAUAUUUUGAAACAUGAUAAAGAGAAAUUAUUAUUUAGAGUUCAAAUUUCGAAUUUGAUUUCGGAUUUCGAAUUUUUGAUCGAAUUUAGAUUUGGAUGUGGAUUUUAAAAUUUAUUGAGUUCGAAUUUGUGUUCAGAUUUUGGAUGCUAUUCGAUUCGAUUCAGACUUUGGAAAAUCCG
This 262-nucleotide long non-coding RNA is filed under the name Ananas comosus (pineapple). RNAcentral describes it as "long non-coding RNA (ACOM_LNC015366)". Lineage: Eukaryota; Viridiplantae; Streptophyta; Magnoliopsida; Poales; Bromeliaceae. The record is from RNAcentral.